GAUGAACGCUAGCGGGAGGCUUAACACAUGCAAGCUGAGGGGUAUUAGAUAGCUUGCUAUCUAAGAGACCGGCGUACGGGUGCGUAACGCGUAUGUAACCUACCUUUAUCACGGGGAUAGCCCGGGGAAACUCGGAUUAAUACCUGAUAAGAUAUUUAAUAGCAUUAUUAGAUAUUAAAAGAUUAAUCGGAUAUAGAUGGACAUGCGUAGGAUUAGUUAGUUGGUAAGGUAACGGCUUACCAAGACAUUGAUCCUUAGGGGGCCUGAGAGGGUGAUCCCCCACACUGGAACUGAGACACGGACCAGACUCCUACGGGAGGCAGCAGUGAGGAAUAUUGGACAAUGGGUGAGAGCCUGAUCCAGCCAUCCCGCGUGAAGGACUACAGCCCUAUGGGUUUUAAACUUCUUUUAUAUGGGAAUAAACCUAUCCUCGUGAGGAUAUCUGAAUGUACCAUAUGAAUAAGCAUCGGCUAACUCCGUGCCAGCCGCCGCCGUAACAC
RNAcentral lists this ribosomal RNA (500 nucleotides) under uncultured bacterium. RNAcentral describes it as "bacterial SSU rRNA". It matches the Rfam family "Bacterial small subunit ribosomal RNA", at positions 28 to 526 of the family's 1533-position model. The record is from RNAcentral.